GGCAGAGGAAGCCCGGUUCCCGUGGCCGCGUCCGCGACUGGGCCGCCGUCCCGGCGGCCGCGCGGGCGCGGCCAUGAGGAAAGUCCCCCCACCUCCGGGCAGGUGACCGGGCGCAAGCCCGGAGCGGGAGACCGCUGGCGCUGGAACAGAAACGAGACCCCCCGCCCCGACCGAUGAGACGCGGGCGGUGGCCCCGCCACCGCCUCGGCGCCCGCGGGCCGCCCGGCCCGCGAGCGCGCGAACCGACCCGCAAGGGAAGGGAGCUAACCCGUCGAGGGCCGGGCGGCUGUGCCGCCGGGCGAACGGCGCGAGCCGUGAGCCGGGUGGCGUCGCCACCCCGACGGGCGGGAACGGGUGGAACGGCGAACCCUCACCGGUGCAAGCCCGCCGCACAGGUAGCCCGGAGUCGCGGCGGGUGCUCAGCCGAAUGCCGGGUCGAAACAGAAGGGGGCUUACUAUCCUCAGCC
Molecule: RNase P RNA, 467 nt
Filed under: Halobacteriales archaeon QS_1_69_70
Lineage: Archaea; Methanobacteriati; Methanobacteriota; Halobacteria; Halobacteriales
Description: RNase P RNA component
Rfam family: Archaeal RNase P
About the family: Ribonuclease P (RNase P) is a ubiquitous endoribonuclease, found in archaea, bacteria and eukarya as well as chloroplasts and mitochondria.
Source: RNAcentral